UACGGCUAUAUCACGUUGAUACCGGUUCUCGUACGAUCACCGAAGUUAAGCAACGUCGAGCCUGGACAGUACUUAAAUGGGUGAACACUUGAGAAGUGCUG
Molecule: non-coding RNA, 101 nt
Organism: Acanthosepion pharaonis
Lineage: Eukaryota; Metazoa; Mollusca; Cephalopoda; Sepiida; Sepiidae
Source: the annotation of a GenBank genome assembly